This 380-nucleotide ribosomal RNA is filed under the name uncultured eukaryote. Its description in RNAcentral is "partial 18S ribosomal RNA". It matches the Rfam family "Eukaryotic small subunit ribosomal RNA", at positions 592 to 976 of the family's 1831-position model. The record is from RNAcentral.
CAAUAGCGUAUAUUAAAGUUGUUGCGGUUAAAAAGCUCGUAGUUGGAUUUCUGUUGGGAACGACCGGUCCGCCCAUUGGGUGUGUAUCUGGCUUGUUCUCGGCAUCUUCUUGGUGAACGUUGCUGCACUUGACUGUGUGGAGCGCUACCCAGGACUUUUACUUUGAGGAAAUUAGAGUGUUUCAAGCAGGCAUAUGCCUUGAAUACAUUAGCAUGGAAUAAUAAGAUAGGACCUCGGUUCUAUUUUGUUGGUUUCUAGAGCUGAGGUAAUGAUUAAUAGGGAUAGUUGGGGGCAUUCGUAUUUAACUGUCAGAGGUGAAAUUCUUGGAUCUGUUGAAGACGGACUACUGCGAAAGCAUUUGCCAAGGAUGUUUUCAUUGA